Molecule: transfer RNA, 84 nt
Filed under: Huiozyma naganishii CBS 8797
Lineage: Eukaryota; Fungi; Ascomycota; Saccharomycetes; Saccharomycetales; Saccharomycetaceae
Description: Kazachstania naganishii CBS 8797 tRNA-Leu
Rfam family: tRNA
About the family: Transfer RNA (tRNA) molecules are approximately 80 nucleotides in length. Their secondary structure includes four short double-helical elements and three loops (D, anti-codon, and T loops). Further hydrogen bonds mediate the characteristic L-shaped molecular structure. tRNAs have two regions of fundamental functional importance: the anti-codon, which is responsible for specific mRNA codon recognition, and the 3' end, to which the tRNAs corresponding amino acid is attached (by aminoacyl-tRNA synthetases). tRNAs cope with the degeneracy of the genetic code in two manners: having more than one tRNA (with a specific anti-codon) for a particular amino acid; and 'wobble' base-pairing, i.e. permitting non-standard base-pairing at the 3rd anti-codon position.
Source: RNAcentral
GGGAGUUUGGCCGAGUGGUUUAAGGCGUCAGAUUAAGGUACUCUGAUAUCUUCGGAUGCGCGGGUUCGAAUCCCACAGCUCUCA